RNAcentral lists this ribosomal RNA (279 nucleotides) under uncultured bacterium. Its description in RNAcentral is "partial 16S ribosomal RNA". It matches the Rfam family "Bacterial small subunit ribosomal RNA", at positions 506 to 784 of the family's 1533-position model. The record is from RNAcentral.
UGCCAGCCGCCGCGGUAAUACGAAGGGAACUAGCGUUGUUCGGAUUUACUGGGCGUAAAGAGCAUGUAGGCGGAUUGGACAGUUGGAGGUGAAAUCCCGGAGCUCAACUCCGGAACUACCUUCAAUACUUCCAGUCUAGAAUCUGUAAGGGGGUGGUGGAAUUCCGAGUGUAGAGGUGAAAUUCGCAGAUAUUUGGAAGAACACCAGAGGCGAAGGCGGCUCACUGGCUCGAUACCGACGCUGAGGUGCGAAAGUGUGGGGAGCAAACAGGAUUAGAUA